GCUGAGGGAACUCUAGGUAUAAGCACCAAGUAACAAAAACUAUUCCUUGAGCCAAAAGAGACCCCAGGAAGUCUGUUUAAAGGUCACUAUGACCUUGAAGCAAGCUGGAGCACAUCUCUCUUCCCAUGGCCCCAAAAUAUUGUGAGGUAACUCAGAAACCACAAAGGACACCCUCGAGUAUGAAGACAGAGGGCAAACAUCCAUUCGUGCAUUGCUGUGGCAUCUCUGACCUUUCUCUCACCAGUGCCUGAGAUGUCCACGGGAUUCCAACAGCUGAGGGUGAUGGAAAAAAGUCUGUAGAAAUAUUUUGCUUCUCCUGUGGUUGAGUUGACUAACAGGGCUGAGAAGAUGCCGUGUUUCUUAGAAUUGAAUUUGUGAGUUUUUUGACUCCAUAAGUCAUCAAUGAAGGAAUGACUCAUUUAAAAACACUUAAAGAGAGUCUACUAAGUGCUUGGGUUGAAGUGACAGAGGCAAUUAAAAAUUGAUUCCUGCCCUAAAGGAACUCACAGGGAGGUGCAGGAGGCAGAGAGGUCAAUAAGUCAGUUCAAUAUGAUAUGAUAAGAGUUAGGGAUAUGAUAAGAGUAAUGUGGGUGGAGGAGGGGUCCAGGUCCAAUCGUGGGAGUGUGGGGGAGAAGGUCAGGAAGGGAUUCCCAGAGGAGGUGACCUCUGACUUGAGUAAAAACAGAAUUGUGGCAUUAGUUAAUGCUAAGGCAGUAAUCAUAUUGCAACAUAUAAGUGCAUCAAACCAACACCUUGUACAGCUUAAACUUGCACAACGUUAUAUGUCACUUAUAUCUCAAUUGAAACAAAAGGGAAUUGCAUGUGUGUUUGCCAAGUGAACUCUUCUCAACCAUAAGAGAAAAGCAAAACUUAGGUAUCCUUUGGUUAGGAACAAGGCAGGUAUGGCUAUUUCUUGAAAGGAACUGUCUCAUUUGAUUAUUCUUGUUUUGCUUUAUUUUGUUGCCUUGGUAACGUAGCCUUUACUAUUAUGUGCGGUGUUACUUUCAGAAGCAAAAGCGUUUCACCCUCUGAAUAGCUUAGACGUUCCAUGUCAUAACGCACAUCGGGGGAGUGCCUGCUCUAUCACCUACUACUGGACCAGGCUACCUGCCUGGAGGAGAUGCCACGAAAGGGUGACAAUGGACAUUUCCAUUACAGUCUGGGUCUUCUCAGGCAUGAUGUCAACUGGAAGAGAGAGAGUGGCUGCAGCCUGAAUCCUAGCCUGAGGGUCAGGAUAAAACUAAAUGCACUUUAUAACUGCAGUGAGUAGAGCAACGCUCUGACCAGUUGCUUUGGACUCUGCACUGGGGAGUAGACAAAUGCAAACAAUGGACCGAAAUGAAGGGGAGCUUUAGGACGGAGGCAUGGAUGAGAGAGGACUCUGAGAAGUUCUGAGGACAGGGGCUUCUUCAUCUCUGUUCCACUGAAUUGACAAUUUCUCACAAGAAGUUUUGAAAAUUCCUCAUUUUAUCGUUGAAAGGAAACAAUUUAAUUCAACACAAUUACAUUGUUAACUCUUGUACAGCUACUAUAAUGAAUUCUGGGUUUAUAUUGAUGAAAAAGACUUAUUUCUGCCUCAGGUUGCUCACAGAGUAGACAGACUCUUAAACAGGUAACCAAAAUGCAGUGAUAGAAUGGAUUUGGCUAAUUCGUGCAAAGAUUCUAUCCCCGUGAUCUCAUUACCCCUGAUUCCCCGGCCAGGUGUGAUAGAUACAGUGCAGGGGAGAUGGUCAGGCUCUGAUUUUCUAUCCUAGAUCUACCCAGAGCUGUUCAUCAUUCCGUAAUUUUCUUUGCAUUUCACACCUCCAGAUCCCAGUCAUAGUUAAUAGCGUGUCACUUUACCUCGCCACUUCUGUGGAAUUUCCUGGCUGCAUGCAAACUCAGCUCUCUAAGAGAAUUAGGCUGUCUCUAGACCACAUCUGUCCCUGAACCCCUGCCUCUGCUUGGGUCUCCUUGUCCCAACGUUAACCUUGGCCCCUAUUUAUCCUCAAUCCUUCAUCUCGUCCUCUUCCCCCCUUCAAAAACCUUUUGCUCAGUUCCUGCCAUUCUUGAACCCUUGUGGAUUUCAGCAAGACAGAGCUAAAAUGAAAAAUGGAACAAACACUCAAAGGAGUUGCAUCCUGGAUCAUUGAACCUCAUUGGUGCACCUGCAAAAAUAGAGCCAGGAUCUUGAAAGAACGGAAGGUGGCAGUAGAGGAACGAGCAUACUUUCUGGUCCCGGUGCUGAAGAAAAGCCAAAUCCAGGAUUCCAGCUUCACUCAAUUUUCUCUCACAGAUGUAUUACUUCUCUUCGUGUUGCCAUUUCUCUUCUUUUUAUCCCUUUCUAAUUCAGUCUUUCAUCUCUCCUCUCUGAUUCUUUCUCCAUGUUCCCCCAAUUGCUUUGGAAGGCUUUGUGCUAGCUGAGAUAUCAUUUCUAGUUGACUUUUUCCAAGAAAUAUUAAAUCUGCCAUCCUUUGCCUUUUCAUCCAUUUAAGCCUUACUUAAAUGAAUGGGUUCUAGGAACUAAUACAACAACUUACAUUCUCUACCAUCUUUAAUACAAAACUUACCGAAAUAAUACUGGGUGGGUAAAAUUAGCAAACGUGUGAUUUUAGGCAAUUGCCUGUAGAAUUUUUAGCGAGUUGCUAAACUACUUAAGUAACUUCCUCAGGAGAAUCUAUAUCAGGGAUCAGCUAACCAUCACCUGAGGGUCAAAUCUGGUCUGCAACCUGUUUUUGUAAAUAAAGUUUUAUUGGAGCAUUGCCACGCUCAUUUGUUUACCUAUAGCCUAUGAGUGCUUUUGCACGACAAUGGCAGAGUUAAGUAGUCAUGACAGAGACUGCAUGGCCUGCAAAGCCUAAAAUAUUUCCUUUCUGGCUCUUUACAGGGUUUGCUGACCGCUGCUCUAGGUGUCUGUAUUAAUCCACCCGCUAAGUUGUGCUGCAGAAGGAAAUGAUUGAAAACCGCAGUGGCUUACAACAAAGGGGCACUUCUCACUCACGUGACAUGACCUUUGAGGGUCAGCUUUGAUGUUUCACUCCAGGCUGCAGGCUGGAAGAGCAGACCCCAUAUGGAACAGUGCUGAUUUAGGAAAGAGGGAGAAGAGAGAAGGCAGAAUCACAAUAGCUCUUGAAGGUGGCACAUGUCAGUUUCACUCAUGUUUCAUUGGCUAAGAAAGUCGCAAGGCCACACACGUGGGGAAGGAAAUAUAUUCCUCCUUAGGGACUUCUGGGAGGGAGAGGCCUGGUGAGGAAGAUCCAGAGAAAACUCUGGAAAUAAUACAGUCUAUUACAGUGGCUGUUAGGCUUUUGUUAAGAGUUCAGAAUAAAAAUGAAAACUACAAGGUCUUAGGGCAGAAAGGCUAAUCAUUUUUGUCUUCUCUUCCUUUGAAGCAGGUCAAACAGUAUGAGUCCUACAAUGAGUACGGCCUCAGAAUGCUAUGUGUUCCGAGGGUGACAAAGGAAGCUCAGAUCCUCUGGAUUCCUGGCAAGACCCUCCACCUCGCUCUCCCCCAUGCUGGCCCUCACAGCCUCCUCUUCGCUCUUUGCUUGGAGAAUCUCAGGAUCCAUCUCACCAUUUCCCUUGCAUCACAGAUUGAGUUUCCUGAGCAGGAGAUUUGAACACAGAUGGUUCACUGGGGAGUUCUCUCAGCAUCGCCAGCUGUCGGGGGAAUGGAAGGCAGCAGAAUGGGCCCGGGCAGAGUAGUGGCAGCAGAGGCCCGCAAAGAUCCUGUAAUGCCAGGAAGAGUUCCGAAACUUUGAUGAUUUUUUAGAGUGGCUGUGAGCAAGAUAUAAAUGGAAAUACAGCCCAGGUGGUUGUGGACAGCCAAAAUAGAACUUCUAGAAGUGAAGUUGACAAUGACAAGGGCAGACAGAUGUAGAGUUAACCUGGUCUUGGAGGACAUUGGUCCCUGGACUACAGAGAACGUGAGCUCUUGCUGCAAGUCACCUGCCUCUAAGAGACAUAAAUAACCACAACUGGCAGAAAAUAAAGCAGGCAAUCUCUGGAAAUGCCUGGAUAAAUUAAAAUGAAAUACAACCCAAGACUCCAGCACUGUAGACUCCGUUGAAUGCUGUGUUGCCAGUCAGCAGAUGAAAGAACUCAGACCUAGAGGUGUGAAGCAAUAUGCCCCCAAUUGGCACCACACAGCUACAAAGUGGAGCCACAAUUCACCCAGGUGGUGUUGUAGAUGAUCACAGAAAUGGAAAGCGUCACGAGACUGGCUAAAUCAAGACAUAGGGAAUGGAGGGAAAAAAAGAACCAUUGAAAGAAACAACUGAGUCCAUACAAGAACGUUCCUUUUGCAGACUUUGACAUCAUGAAGGACAUAUUUCUCUGUCUACCUCAGCUGUUAUAAAAUUGUAUGAUGUGCAAGAGAAGCUAGAACUAGAUGGGAGCAGAGAAGGGGGCCUGGGCCCUUUUGCAAACACCAAGACCUUUUGUUGGAAUGGGAUAGAAAAAACCCACAAGCUUAACUUGGUAGGUCUGAGGGCUUGCUAAUGCAACCAGCUGAAACUUUGUAAACGUUUAGCAUAAAACUCAUUUUUAAUCUCAUAAACUUAAUUUUUUCCCCUAGCAUAUGGGAUGCAUAAAAAGGAAAUAAAACUUUAGUAAAUUGAGCCUUACUUGUGCUUUAUAAAAAAGAAAUUGAAUUGCUCUAAUGGCAGCUGCAGCUGGCUUUCAGCUUCGAACAACCAGUGUAAAUCUCGUUUUUAGUGCUUGAUUUAGUAAACACUCAGCUGCGAACAGGCUUGGAAAACAACUCUGAAUGCAGGGUUUUCCAUAAAGGCAGUUAUGUAACCUCUGUGUGUUAUGCCUUUAAAAUCUGUGAAGAAUAGCAGAAACCCUGAUUGAGAUAUCUUACAAUUAUCCUUUACUCUGGAUUUAAAUCUGCAGAGAGUUUGCUACUCAUUAUGCACAGAGCGAGCACAAAUGGAUUCUAAUAGGCCAUACAUUUAGAUGUAUGUGUAAUACUCGUUAAAGAUAUUAAAAAAGUAGAGUACUAAUAACCAGUUGAGAAGCCAGAGUUGAGUUGGGCGUGUCAUCUGGUCAUCUCCAAGUGACAAUCACAGCUUGUUUUUUAUUCUGCCCUUCUCUGAGCCGUGUCGGGCUCCUAUACAUUGAAGAGCCGUGAGAAUUCCUGGUUUGUAUUCUCUUUAGCAAAGGUUGCACGUGCCCAGCUUGCCAUUUUUGCUAAAAAUAGGGAGAAAAUCUUCUCCCUAAUGAACAAGAUGAAACAUCCAAGUGCUUUUAAAUUGACACACAAAUCACUUACGAUUCUAAAGCCAGUUUAUCCUAAAUAUUUCUAGUGACCUGG
Long non-coding RNA from Equus caballus (horse), 5296 nucleotides. The record is from Ensembl. NCBI's taxonomy places the organism in Eukaryota, Metazoa, Chordata, Mammalia, Perissodactyla, Equidae.